UAACAAGGAUUCCCCUAGUAACUGCGAGUGAAGCGGGAAAAGCUCAAAUUUAAAAUCUGGCAGUCUCACUGUCCGAGUUGUAAUCUGGAGAAGCAUUUUCUGUGCUAUACCGUGUACAAGUCUCUUGGAAUAGAGCGUCAUAGAGGGUGAGAAUCCCGUCCAUGACACGGAUUACUAGUGCUUUGUGAUAUGCUCUCGAAGAGUCGAGUUGUUUGGGAAUGCAGCUCAAAAUGGGUGGUAAAUUCCAUCUAAAGCUAAAUAUUGGCGAGAGACCGAUAGCGAACAAGUACCGUGAGGGAAAGAUGAAAAGCACUUUGGAAAGAGAGUUAAACAGUACGUGAAAUUGUUGAAAGGGAAACGCUUGAAGUCAGUCGCGUUGUCUGAGACUCAGCCUUGCUUGCAUGGUGUACUUCUCAGUUAACGGGUCAACAUCAAUUUCAGUUGGUGGAUAAAGGCAUUGGGAAUGUGGCACCUUCGGGUGUGUUAUAGCCCUUUGUUGCAUACACUGACCGGGAUUGAGGAACGCAGCACGCCACUAAGGCCAGGGGUUCGCCCCAUGUAACGUGCUUAGGAUGUUGGCAUAAUGGCUUUAAGCGACCCGUCUUGAAACACGGACCAAGGAGUCUAACAUGCCUGCGAGUAUUAGGGUGGAAAACCCUUGUGCGUAAUGAAAGUGAAAGUUGGGACCUCUUUGAGGGCACCGACGCCUGGCCCUGAAGUUUACUGACGGCGCUACGGUAGAGCAUGUAUGUUGGGACCCGAAAGAUGGUGAACUAUGCCUGAAUAGGGUGAAGCCAGGGGAAACUCUGGUGGAGGCUCGUAGCGAUUCUGACGUGCAAAUCGAUCGUCAAAUUUGGG
This 858-nucleotide ribosomal RNA is filed under the name Xylodon niemelaei. RNAcentral's name for it is "partial large subunit ribosomal RNA". It matches the Rfam family "Eukaryotic large subunit ribosomal RNA", at positions 66 to 915 of the family's 3401-position model. Lineage: Eukaryota; Fungi; Basidiomycota; Agaricomycetes; Hymenochaetales; Schizoporaceae. The record is from RNAcentral.